Molecule: ribosomal RNA, 261 nt
Filed under: uncultured bacterium
Lineage: Bacteria
Description: partial 16S ribosomal RNA
Rfam family: Bacterial small subunit ribosomal RNA
Source: RNAcentral
GUCCAUGCCGUAAACGAUGAUUACUAGGUGUUGGAGGAUUGACCCCUUCAGUGCCGCAGUUAACACAAUAAGUAAUCCACCUGGGGAGUACGACCGCAAGGUUGAAACUCAAAGGAAUUGACGGGGGCCCGCACAAGCAGUGGAGUAUGUGGUUUAAUUCGACGCAACGCGAAGAACCUUACCAAGUCUUGACAUCCCUUGACAGGCAUAGAAAUAUGUAAUCUCUUCGGAGCAAGGAGACAGGUGGUGCAUGGUUGUCGU